Salvia splendens (bonfire salvia) is the source of this 1446-nucleotide long non-coding RNA. RefSeq lists it as uncharacterized. The transcript has 2 exons. Lineage: Eukaryota; Viridiplantae; Streptophyta; Magnoliopsida; Lamiales; Lamiaceae. The record is from RefSeq and is a predicted model, not a curated record.
UUUCGACUCUCCCCAUACGGCGACACCCAUCCAGUGUUUAUGUUAAGGAGCAAAACCCCUUAACGUGUAGAAGUAACGAUAAAGCCCGGAGGCGGCUGAUGUCCGGCGCCCAGUCGUAGGGUCGGCGGAAGGGGUUUGGUGGCUGUGAGUGGGAUCGUCCCGUUUGGCAGCGUUGAUUACGGUUUGUUCACAAAAGAGAACGAUAGAGACGAUAAUGAAUCUGAUUUGUAUUUCUUAUUUGAUUGAAUAAUUCAUUAAUGAAGAUCACACAUAUUUAUAAAUAUGUGGAAACAAAUCAAAUCAUAUCCUAAUCUAUAUGGAAAAGAUAUGGUAGAUUCCUAAAAUAUCUAAACUAAAAGAGUGAGACUCGUAUCAGUUUACGCCCCGUGCUUGAGUGUAUUCUGUGGGUACAAUUGGCAUGCCAUAGGACAGCAGCGCUGCAUUAUCUGCGAUCACUCGUCUUUUGGAAAAUCGAAGCGAGGAUCGUUCUGCUCUGCAUCUGAUUCUGUUUCUGAUCUGAUCCGCGUACUCUAGUAUGUCACUAAGCACUUAAUGGGGCCAUACUUGUUUUGAUGUGUGAAAAUUUAUAUGCUUAUGAAAAGAAUCUUAUGUGAUGCUAAAAUAUAUAUUCUGAUGCAAAAAGGGUGUAUCUGACAUUGUCAGAUAUGAUUCGACAUUGUAUGAAAUUAAUUGACGUUGUUUGACAUUAGCUAUUGAUAUUUGAUGUUGUCUAAAUAUAUUUUAUUCAUAAUUAUAUUUAUAUUUCAAAAUAAUUUUUAUAAUUUAAAAAUAUAUAAUAUAUAUGUUAUAUAUAAUUAUAUUAUCAAAUUUAUUGUAUAUACCUUAAUUUACGGUAUAAACCGAAUUUCAGUAUGUUGCGGUAUACCGCUGUAUAUGAAAAUUCAUACCGUUACCUUACCGAAAUCUUUCAGUAAGGUAUCAUAUCGUACCGAAAAUUCGAGAUUUUUUCGGUACGAUAAGAAUGAUAUUUCGGUAUUUCAAUAUUUUUCCUUAUCCCUAAUCUUCACGUCCACAAGAACCCAUGCAACAACUUGAUCAAGCAAGCCAAGAGGACGCCCAGUCGGAGAUGGCAGCAGCGGAGCCAAGGAACAUGACAGCGCUAAGACCAAAGGAGGCAAGAAGCCCAGAGCUCGCGAUCAGACCAAGACGAGGGUCCAGCUGAAGAGAAACGCGUCCAAACCCACUAAGCUUAAAGACUACAUAUCUCAUUAGAUUUCUUUUUCCUUAUUUUAUUAUUUUCUUGCCAUGUUGAACUUUUUAUUUAAUUAGAUAGAUUGAGUCAAUUUUUUUUUUAGAUUUUCUUCUUUAUUCUUUUUUUAUUCUUCGAUUCGUAAGUCCGAAUUAAGCAGGGGAAUUGUAUAUAUUAUAGAAUUCUCAUAGAUCGAGUCUUAGAGAAUUAAAGGAAUAAACAUCUUUUUCUCUAAA